GGGACACUGGCCAGGAAAAGAGGUGCAUCGUCAUCACAGGUCACAUGUUAGCGGAGAGAAUUGAUGAACAUAAGCGUGACGUGGAGGAGGGGAAGAUGUCUGCGGGUCUGGCGGAGGAGUGCUGUGCAUCCGGCGUGGAGGUGCUUUGGAACGAAGCAAAACUUAUCAAACAAACCAAGAACCUUAGGCAGGGCAUGAUCCGGGAGUCCUUGGAAAUUGUUGAAGGAAGAUUGUUUGAAGCCAUCCUAAGUGGUGGAAGUUCGGAAGAGGUGCCGGUCCCGUGGCUGUACGCGGCCGGUAUGUCUGGCUGGUAUGUGG
RNAcentral lists this long non-coding RNA (318 nucleotides) under Androctonus crassicauda. Lineage: Eukaryota; Metazoa; Arthropoda; Arachnida; Scorpiones; Buthidae. The record is from RNAcentral.